Molecule: long non-coding RNA, 301 nt
Filed under: Elaeis guineensis (African oil palm)
Lineage: Eukaryota; Viridiplantae; Streptophyta; Magnoliopsida; Arecales; Arecaceae
Description: long non-coding RNA (EGUI_LNC035877)
Source: RNAcentral
AGGAUCAUCAUAGAGGACAGUGAUCAAUCUAUUUAAGGUCGGUGUACAGAUCACCUCCAUUUUGGAUAGAUAAGUCUCCGAUCUAUAGUGUAGGAAUACUGGGAUGAGAGUGCAGGUGGUUGUUAGAGAAUAACUUACAUUGAGCAUGAUCAAUAUGAAAAAUUACUUGAAUGUCUACUCACUCAUCAGUGGUUGUCUCGAUGCUACGGUGGUGUGAGUAGUCCUUUGACCUAUGGUGUUAUCGGUUAUUCACAGUGAGACUACUGAGUUUGAUUGUACAUUCUCUUAAUCCCUAACCAUU